GGGGGAGGCGAAAGAGAGAGAUGACAAGAUACUUCCCUAGGCAACUCGGGUGUGUGGCUCUGGGCUACAGCAUGAAACCACAGAUGAAUGUGUUUUAUGUGAGCUCUGUCCACAUCAGAAGACCCGAUAAAUCCUGGAAAACUCUAUUACUGAAUUCAUCAAAAAUUAAGCACAACAUUAAGGAAGAAUAGUGCUGGACAUUUGCCGUGUUUGCCUCGAUUCAAUACGGUUCGUUUUAUAGAAGACCAUCGCACCAAAACAUUAACACAGCCCACCCCCUGAACCCAGUGAUAGAUAUAAGCAAUAAAGUGUUCUCCUCUCUGCGUUUUGUGCUCUGACAGAGAUAGAUACUGAUGCUGAAUUCUCAUAAAGCAUUUGUGUGCUGAGGCAAUCUCUCUCCCCA
This is a long non-coding RNA of Puntigrus tetrazona (Sumatra barb), 403 nucleotides long. RefSeq lists it as uncharacterized. The record is from RefSeq and is a predicted model, not a curated record. NCBI's taxonomy places the organism in Eukaryota, Metazoa, Chordata, Actinopteri, Cypriniformes, Cyprinidae. The transcript has 3 exons.